CCUACGGGUGGCAGCAGUGGGGAAUAUUGCACAAUGGGCGCAAGCCUGAUGCAGCCAUGCCGCGUGUGUGAAGAAGGCCUUCGGGUUGUAAAGCACUUUCAGCGGGGAGGAAGGCGGUGAGGUUAAUAACCUCAUCGAUUGACGUUACCCGCAGAAGAAGCACCGGCUAACUCCGUGCCAGCAGCCGCGGUAAUACGGAGGGUGCAAGCGUUAAUCGGAAUUACUGGGCGUAAAGCGCACGCAGGCGGUCUGUCAAGUCGGAUGUGAAAUCCCCGGGCUCAACCUGGGAACUGCAUUCGAAACUGGCAGGCUAGAGUCUUGUAGAGGGGGGUAGAAUUCCAGGUGUAGCGGUGAAAUGCGUAGAGAUCUGGAGGAAUGCCGGUGGCGAAGGCGGCCCCCUGGACAAAGACUGACGCUCAGGUGCGAAAGCGUGGGGAGCAAACAGGAUAGAUACCCGUGUAGUC
Molecule: ribosomal RNA, 464 nt
Filed under: uncultured Klebsiella sp.
Lineage: Bacteria; Pseudomonadati; Pseudomonadota; Gammaproteobacteria; Enterobacterales; Enterobacteriaceae
Description: bacterial SSU rRNA
Rfam family: Bacterial small subunit ribosomal RNA
Source: RNAcentral